This 253-nucleotide ribosomal RNA is filed under the name uncultured bacterium. Its description in RNAcentral is "partial 16S ribosomal RNA". It matches the Rfam family "Bacterial small subunit ribosomal RNA", at positions 524 to 776 of the family's 1533-position model. The record is from RNAcentral.
GGCGAAGGAUGCAAGCGUUAUCCGGAUUCAUUGGGUUUAAAGGGAGCGUAGGUGGUCUGCUAAGUCAGUGGUGAAAUCCUAUCGCUUAACGAUAGAAUUGCCAUUGAUACUGGCGGACUUGAGUGUAGUUGCCGUUGGCGGAAUAUGACAUGUAGUGGUGAAAUACAUAGAGAUGUCAUAGAACACCGAUUGCGAAGGCAGCUAACGAAACUAUAACUGACACUGAGGCUCGAAAGUGUGGGGAUCAAACAGG